GGGAUUUUAGUAUAAUGGUGAAUGCAUAGGACUUUUAAUCCUCAAAAUAUAGGUUCGAAUCCUGUAAGUCUCA
The sequence is a transfer RNA, 73 nucleotides long. It matches the Rfam family "tRNA". Rfam says of the family: Transfer RNA (tRNA) molecules are approximately 80 nucleotides in length. Their secondary structure includes four short double-helical elements and three loops (D, anti-codon, and T loops). Further hydrogen bonds mediate the characteristic L-shaped molecular structure. tRNAs have two regions of fundamental functional importance: the anti-codon, which is responsible for specific mRNA codon recognition, and the 3' end, to which the tRNAs corresponding amino acid is attached (by aminoacyl-tRNA synthetases). tRNAs cope with the degeneracy of the genetic code in two manners: having more than one tRNA (with a specific anti-codon) for a particular amino acid; and 'wobble' base-pairing, i.e. permitting non-standard base-pairing at the 3rd anti-codon position. The record is from Rfam.